This 373-nucleotide ribosomal RNA is filed under the name uncultured Bacteroides sp. Its description in RNAcentral is "bacterial SSU rRNA". It matches the Rfam family "Bacterial small subunit ribosomal RNA", at positions 523 to 898 of the family's 1533-position model. The record is from RNAcentral. Lineage: Bacteria; Pseudomonadati; Bacteroidota; Bacteroidia; Bacteroidales; Bacteroidaceae.
AUACGGAGGAUGCGAGCGUUAUCCGGAUUUAUUGGGUUUAAAGGGUGCGUAGGCGGGCUGAUAAGUCAGUUGUGAAAGUUUGCGGCUCAACCGUAAAAUUGCAGUUGAAACUGUCAGUCUUGAGUAUAGCAGAGGAAGGCGGAAUUCGUGGUGUAGCGGUGAAAUGCUUAGAUAUCACGAAGAACUCCAAUUGCGAAGGCAGCUUUCUAGACUAUAACUGACGCUGAGGCACGAAAGUGUGGGUAUCAAACAGGAUUAGAUACCCUGGUAGUCCACACAGUAAACGAUGAAUACUCGCUGUUUGCGAUACAUUGCAAGCGGCCACGCGAAAGCAUUAAGUAUUCCACCUGGGGAGUACGCCGGCAACGGUGAA